Molecule: unclassified non-coding RNA, 250 nt
Filed under: plant metagenome
Description: partial contains small subunit ribosomal RNA, internal transcribed spacer 1, and 5.8S ribosomal RNA
Source: RNAcentral
AUAGGUGAACCUGCGGAAGGAUCAUUAACACUUCUAUAUCCAAUAACCAAAACUUAACGUGAACUAAACUUCGCCCUAUUAUCAUAUUAAAGUCCAACUAGUUGAUUAAUCAUUUCUCUAUAUAUGCAAUUCGAACAGUUAAGUUAAAUUAACUGUUUGUGAUUCUAUUUGAUUUUUUGAUUCUUUUUCUAUUUAGGCUGAUAGUAGGCUAUUUUUCAAUUUCAUUUUAAACCAUUAUAACCUUUAAUUG